Molecule: ribosomal RNA, 253 nt
Filed under: uncultured bacterium
Lineage: Bacteria
Description: partial 16S ribosomal RNA
Rfam family: Bacterial small subunit ribosomal RNA
Source: RNAcentral
CACGUAGGGCGCAAGCGUUGUCCGGAAUUAUUGGGCGUAAAGCGCGCGUAGGCGGUUACUUAAGUCGAAUGUGAAAGCCCUCGGCUUAACUGAGGAAGUGCAUCCGAAACUGAGUAGCUAGAGUACGAAAGAGGGUCGCGGAAUUCCCGGUGUAGAGGUGAAAUUCGUAGAUAUCGGGAGGAACACCGGUGGCGAAGGCGGCGACCUGGGUCGAGACUGACGCUGAGGCGCGAAAGCGUGGGGAGCAAACAGG